RNAcentral lists this unclassified non-coding RNA (362 nucleotides) under uncultured bacterium. RNAcentral's name for it is "contains 16S-23S intergenic spacer region". The record is from RNAcentral.
UCCGACUUAACGCCGGCAGUCUCACGUGAUAAGCAACACGCAAUAGGGGUUGCGCUCGUUACCCCACUUAAGGGAACAGUUCACACCACGAGCUGACGACAACCGUGCAGCACCUGUUCAGCACCCUCGUAGGCUCCCGCCGUUUCUGGCGGGAUGCAGCUGAAUUUCAAGCCCUGGUAAGGUUCCUCGCUUAUCGUCGAAUUAAACCACACGCUCCACCGCUUGUGCGGGCCCCCGUCUAUUCCUUUGAGUUUUAGCCUUGCGGCCGUACUACCCAGGCGGUCAACUUAACGCGUUAGCUACGACACUGAGAGGGUCGGUACUCCCAAUGCCUAGUUGACAUCGUUUACGGCGUGGACUAC